Molecule: long non-coding RNA, 496 nt
Filed under: Trifolium pratense (red clover)
Lineage: Eukaryota; Viridiplantae; Streptophyta; Magnoliopsida; Fabales; Fabaceae
Description: long non-coding RNA (TPRA_LNC007645)
Source: RNAcentral
UGGAAUUCACGAACGCUACACUAAAAAAAAUUUAUGUAAAUUUUAAACCACAGGUCUGGUUGGAGAUAAAUCGCAUUUAAACAUUCUUGUUGGAACCACUACAAUUAAAAUAGGUCCAUAAAAAAUUUGAUCUACGUUUGUAAAUUAUAAUGAAAGUAUCAAUACUAAUUCAGUAUACUUUUCCAAAAAAAAAUACUAAUUCAGUAUACAAAUCGAAGAUCCAAAAACAACCCAUAAGACUAUGCAAACAAUACAGACAAGGGCCACAGGUCACUUCGUGUGAAUCCUGAAAAGCAAGGUAGCAAAACGGCCAAUCGGAAAAACAGUUCACCCAAUUUCAUUAUACCUGCUUUAACAUCUCUGCAGGUGCAAUAGCUUUAACAUAAAAAAUAAGUCCAUCCAACUUGAUUGAAGAAAAACUUGCUACAAAUAGAAGGAUUCCUUUACUCUUCUUUACCCAAUUUGCAGACGAGCAAAGGAAUAAUAAAACUUGGCU